ACCUGGAGGAAGGUGCCGGAGACGGCGACGAGGAAGGUGGCGGCGGCCCAGAGGAAGGCCCCGGCGGCGACGACGUGCGCGCGAUUGUGGCGCGACGCGGCGUAGGCGGCGACGGGGUAGCACGCCGCCUGCACGGCGGAGCGGCACAGCGUGAGCGCGCCGAGCCCCGUCGGCGUCGCGUGCAGCGCCGCGCCCACCUCCCGGUACACCGCCGGCAGCAGCGCCUCGUCGGCGCGCUCCAUGAUCGACGCCAGGUUCACCAGCACCAGCGUCCGCCGCUCCUCCCACGUCGUGGCCGCCGCCGCCGCCGCUGGGACGAGCCCCAUCCAGCCGGCCGCCGGAGCUUCCUCUUCGCCUCUCACCUCGAGCUCGGGGUGCCCGCCAUUGGCAGCGAACUAGCUAGGAGCUCGCGCGCCGGCGGCAGCAGCGGCGAUCUGGAGAUAUCUUUUCGCGCGAAUUUUAUAAUCUACGUUAUGACUCGUCCUGGGCGCGUGCACGGCUAUCUACCCUCACACUGACAUGUGGGGCCAGGGGAGGGUGGGGUCCACGUGUCAGUGAGUGUUUCAAGU
RNAcentral lists this small RNA (569 nucleotides) under Oryza sativa Japonica Group (Japanese rice). RNAcentral's name for it is "sRNA Os09g0371250". Lineage: Eukaryota; Viridiplantae; Streptophyta; Magnoliopsida; Poales; Poaceae. The record is from RNAcentral.